GAUUAUCUCAAAAUCUAUUUUUAUAUCUAAUUAUAAAAUUAUAAAUUUUAAAAAUGAUUAAAAUCAAGUAGAUCUAUAAAUACAUGAAAAUCUUGAAAAUGGACGGUGUAGAUAAUAUGUCGUAAAAUGUACUAUUUUUUAGACUUAAAAUCUUUUUAUUUUUCAUGUUCGUAAAUCUUGAUAUGGAGAUGAUCGAUUAAAGAGUUUUUCAACAUUAAAACUACCUUUUUUUAUGAAUUUUCGAGGUACAUUCGUAGCUCUAUAUUAUAAGGUUGCAACCUUAUGUAAACUUUUUCCUUUCUUUAUACGUCGCCUAAGCAAUAUACCUUUCUGAACCGUCUAAGACUCAUUCCUUUUUCUUUACACCGUCUAU
RNAcentral lists this long non-coding RNA (373 nucleotides) under Amborella trichopoda. Its description in RNAcentral is "long non-coding RNA (ATRI_LNC002963)". Lineage: Eukaryota; Viridiplantae; Streptophyta; Magnoliopsida; Amborellales; Amborellaceae. The record is from RNAcentral.